GAGACAGUAGGAAGUGCCACCAAGCCGCCUCCAUGGGCUCCGUCGACGCUGCCUCCACCGCCCGCCCCCUCCAUGUUGUAUUCUUUCCCCUGAUGAGUCCCGGCCACAUGAUCCCCAUGGUCGACAUGGCCCGCCUCUUCGCCCUCCGCGGCGUCCGCUCCUCCGUCGUCACCACCCCGGGCAACGCUCACAGCGUCCGCCCCGCCAUCGACGCCGCCGCCGCCCUCGGCCACCCCCUCGCCCUCCACCUCAUCCCCUUCCCCGACCCUUCCGCCACCGGGCUCGCCCCCGCCUGCGAGAACCUCUCUGAUGUCCCCGCCGCCCAGUUCGACAACUUCGUCAACGCCCUGUUCCUCUUCCAGGCCCCGGUCGCCGCCCUCCUCCGCGACCUCCGCCCCGACGCCCUCCUCUCUGACUCGCUUUUCACGUGGACGGCCGACCUCGCGGCUGACCUCGGU
This 458-nucleotide long non-coding RNA is filed under the name Musa acuminata (dwarf banana). RNAcentral's name for it is "long non-coding RNA (MACU_LNC009587)". Lineage: Eukaryota; Viridiplantae; Streptophyta; Magnoliopsida; Zingiberales; Musaceae. The record is from RNAcentral.